This 1984-nucleotide long non-coding RNA is filed under the name Homo sapiens (human). Its description in RNAcentral is "HSALNT0369575". Lineage: Eukaryota; Metazoa; Chordata; Mammalia; Primates; Hominidae. The record is from RNAcentral.
CAUGAUUCUGAGGCCUCCCCAGCCCUGUGAAACUUCUCUCUCUCACUUUCUUUUUCUCCAUCUCUCAUUCUGGAACCCUGAGCAACUAUGUAAGAAGUCUGGCUGCCAUGAUGCCACCAUGCUGGAGGGACCACAUGGACAUACCAUGAAGAUAUAUAGAGAAAUGCUUUAGAAACCUCAGCUGUUCCGUCUUUCAGCUAUUUGAGUCUUCCUAGGCCAAGGGCCAGAUAUAUAAACAAAGAAGACUUGAUGGUGACUCCAGCCUUAGUCAACGUCUAACUGCAACCACGUGAGAGACUUUCAACCAGAACUAUGCAGUGGAGCUGCUUCUGAACUCCUGACCCAUAGAAACCAUGAAUGAUAAUAAAUGAUUGCUGUUUUCCUUAAAUGUUUGGUCGCAUUUCUCAGUGAAAUCAUCUGUGCCUAGAAUUUUCUUUCUAGAAAAGUUUCAAACUCCAAAUUCAAUUCUUAAUUGAAUUUUAUAUCUGUAUAUCUAUAGACAUAUACAAAUAUCUGUAUAUCAACAAGAUAAUUCGGAUAAUUCAGGUUAUCUGCUUCUUUUAGAAUAUGCAUUGGGAGUUUGUGUUUGUUAAGGAAUGUGUCUGGUUCAUUCAAAUUGUCGAAUUUAUAGGCAUAAGUUUCUUCUCAAUAUUUCUUCACUAGUCUCUAGAUAUCUACAAGAUCUGUAGUGAUGUUAUUACUCUCAUUCCUGAUACUAGUAAUUUGUGUCUUCUCUUUUCUCUUGGUAGCUCUGGCUGGUGGUUUAUUAAUUUUACUGAUCUUUUCAAAGAAUCCAGAUUUUGAUGUUAAUGCUUUUUUUCUACUAUUGUUUGUUUUCUUUUUCAUUGAUGUCUGUUCUUGUCUUUAUUACUUCCUUUUUUGGCUUUCUUUGGGUUUAGUUUUUUUAUUUUUACUGUUUCUUAAGGUGGAAACAGAUAAUCAAUCUGAGAUAUUUCUUCCUUUCUAAUGUGAGCAUUCAAUGCUACAGUUUAUCUUCUAAGCACUGCUUUAACUGCCUCCUACAUAUUUUGAUAUGCUAUGUUUUUAUAUUUAUUUACUUCAAAAUAUUUACUAACUUCCCUUUUGACUUCCUUUUCAACAUAGGGGAUAUUAAGAAAUGUGCAUUAUGACCAGCAGUAUCUGAGAGUUCCUGUUGCUUUGCAUCAGCGUUAGCCAUACUAAGCAUUAACACUUGGUAUUGUAUUUUUUUCUCAGCCAUUCUAAUAGUUGUCCAGUGGCAUCUCAAUAUGAUUUUAGUUACAUUUCCUAAGGGAUUAAUGUGAUGGCUAAUUUUAUGUAUCAGCUUCACUAGGCUAUAGUACCCAGUUACUUGAUCAAACAAUAAUCUUACCAUAUGACCCAGCCAUGCCACAUCUUCGUGUUUAUUCUAGAGAAAUACCAACUCCUCUUUCCUAGUUACUCUUUAUUUCCUUACUUUCUUAAUUUUUUCAAAAUAUUUUUUAUUGUUAAUUUAACUAUAUUAGUUAUUUACUUAUUUACUUUUUCUGAUGAUGACAUAUACCAUUUAGAAACUUCUGCUUGUCCAUGGCCCUACCUGUAGCAUCCAGAGGAGUGCAGAGCACAUAGUGGAUGUGGCAUGAAAUGUAUUGCUUUAUAGAUGAACAAUAACAAUGGACAUUGUUUGGGAAGAGAUAAGGACUAAGAGUAUGUAGGAUGACUAGGACAAGAACAAAUGGCAUGUGAUGGUAAAUGCAGAAUGUCUUUGUCUUUACAAAAGUGCAAUAUUGUCUAUACUUAGACGAAGAUGCUGGGAUGGAGAGUGGGGGCUGCCCGGACAGAGCUACAAUCAGGGAAUUCAAGGCCUGCCACUGUCAGUGACUUACAUUGUUUCCUUGGAGUUUUUCACAAAUAAAUUCAAGUUUAUGUUAUUAUUUAAAAAAUCCCAAGGCAUACAAGUAUUUUUGGAUAAAAUAAAUAUAUCUGUGAAUCUAUUGAGAAUAAAGGUAGCAUGUUAAAACUCCCA